This 442-nucleotide ribosomal RNA is filed under the name uncultured bacterium. RNAcentral's name for it is "partial 16S ribosomal RNA". It matches the Rfam family "Bacterial small subunit ribosomal RNA", at positions 338 to 795 of the family's 1533-position model. The record is from RNAcentral.
CCUACGGGCGGCAGCAGUGGGGAAUAUUGGGCAAUGGAGGAAACUCUGACCCAGCAACGCCGCGUGAAUGAUGAAGGUCUUCGGAUUGUAAAGUUCUUUUCUAAGGGAAGAAGAAAGUGACGGUACCUUAGGAAUAAGCCUCGGCUAACUACGUGCCAGCAGCCGCGGUAAUACGUAGGAGGCGAGCGUUAUCCGGAAUGACUGGGCGUAAAGGGUGCGUAGGCGGAUCGUUAAGUCAGUGGUCAAAUUGAGGGGCUCAACCCCUUCCCGCCAUUGAAACUGGCGUUCUUGAGUGGAAGAGAAGUAUGCGGAAUGCGUGGUGUAGCGGUGAAAUGCAUAGAUAUCACGCAGAACUCCGAUUGCGAAGGCAGCAUACCGGCGCGCAACUGACGCUCAUGCACGAAAGCGUGGGUAUCGAACAGGAUUAGAUACCCCUGUAGUC